GACGAACGCUGGCGGCGUGCCUAAUACAUGCAAGUAGAACGCUGAAGGAGGAGCUUGCUUCUCUGGAUGAGUUGCGAACGGGUGAGUAACGCGUAGGUAACCUGCCUGGUAGCGGGGGAGAACUAUUGGAAACGAUAGCUAAUACCGCAUAAUAGUAGAUGUCGCAUGACAUUUGCUUAAAAGGUGCAAUUGCAUCACUACCAGAUGGACCUGCGUUGUAUUAGCUAGUUGGUGAGGUAACGGCUCACCAAGGCAACGAUACAUAGCCGACCUGAGAGGGGGAUCGGCCACACUGGGACUGAGACACGGCCCAGACUCCUACGGGAGGCAGCAGUAGGGAAUCUUCGGCAAUGGACGGAAGUCUGACCGAGCAACGCCGCGUGAGUGAAGAAGGUUUUCGGAUCGUAAAGCUCUGUUGUAAGAGAAGAACGAGUGUGAGAGUGGAAAGUUCACACUGUGACGGUAUCUUACCAGAAAGGGACGGCUAACUACGUG
Molecule: ribosomal RNA, 495 nt
Filed under: uncultured bacterium
Lineage: Bacteria
Description: partial 16S ribosomal RNA
Rfam family: Bacterial small subunit ribosomal RNA
Source: RNAcentral